Molecule: non-coding RNA, 143 nt
Organism: Gossypium raimondii (Peruvian cotton)
Lineage: Eukaryota; Viridiplantae; Streptophyta; Magnoliopsida; Malvales; Malvaceae
Source: Rfam
UAUUAAAAUUUCAUCUAUUUUUACGGUUAAAAAUUGAUGUGGUUGACGAAAUAACUAGACAAUUACACGUGAUGUGUCACAUAUACCUCAUGUUAAUAUACAAGAUUGGUUUUAAAUAGUAUAAAUGAACAAAAUUUUUAAUG